AUGCUUCAACAAAAGAUGAACUGCAUGCUCUUCCUUCAGCGUUUCCUGUCCAAAACAAGCACUGGGGAUUCUGGGGAACCUCUGAGGAGCACCCUGCCUUUACUUGCAGUUCUUCCAGAGAAAAUCUUGUCAACUGAAGACGCUCUACAGAAUGAGCAGCGAUGUGUGAAUGGGUCUGUCUCAUGUAGUCAUGGAGCUAUCAGUUUCCCCUUAGUUUAUCAUCAAGUCACCCGGAAGUUGAAGUCCCAAUAUUAUGUGCAACCAGCAUGUGCUUCUACCCUGUAUGUGGUCUUAAAAGUCAGGAUUUAUAUGAAAUUGUGAUAUGACAUAAUUCCUAACUUAAGACCCUGAUGUAGAGGAAUAAUAUAUGGCCAUGAUGAUUCCUCAAGGAUAUAGAACCAGAAAUACCAUGUGACCCAGCAAUCUAAUUACUGGGUAUAUUCCCAAAGGAUUAUAAAUCAUUCUACUGUAAAGACACAUGCAUAUGUAUGUUUAUUGCGGCACUAUUCACAAUAGCAAAGACUUGGAACCAACCCAAAUGUCCAUCAAUGAUAGACUGGAUAAAGAAAAUGUGGCACAUAUACACCAUGGAAUACUAUGCAGUCAUAAAAAAGGAUGAGUUCAUGUCCUUUUCAGGGACAUGGAUGAAGCUGGAAACCAUCAUCCUCAGCAAACUAACACAAGGACAGAAAACCAAACACUGCAUGUUCUCACUCAUAAGUGGGAGCUGAACAAUGAGAACACAUGGACAUAGGGAGGGGAACGUCACACACCGGGGCCUGUCAGGCAGUGAGGGGCUUGGGGAGGGAUAGCAUUAGGAGAAAUACCUAAUAUAGAUGACAGGUUGAUGGGUGCAACAAACCACCAUGGCACAUAUAUACCGAUGUAACGAACAUGCACAUUCUGCACAUGUAUUCCAGAAUUUAAAGUAUAAUUUUAAAAAACGAAUGAAUUAUAGGAGGUCUUCAAAUAAUGUCAUUUCAUUUAAAAUUGUUUAGCUAUAAAGUUGUUCAGCAAAAAAAAUCUGGCUUCGUUAUACAUCAUUUUUCUUAUUGUUGUAGUUUCCAAGAACCUAUUGAAGACCUUAAAUGAGAAUUUACUGCACUUCACAUUUAUAUUGCUUUUCACUGUUCAUUUGUAAUUUACUUACACAUUGCAUCAGUGAAAUCUAUUUAGGCAGAUUAUAUGUGAGAAUCCAUGUCACUGGUCCUCAGGUUUGAGUUAGAUUGAAAUUGCCCAGGAAGUUUACAAGUGCUAAUGCCUGGGUCUCAUUACCAGAGAUUCUGAUUUACUUAGACCUGUGUGGUAUGAUAAUAUUGAAAAGCAUCAGAGAGAGUUCAGAUGGUGCAGUUCCCAAAGGGAUUAAGCUCAAAAAUGUAAGUUACAAAAGAGUUUAUUGUACCACCAGGCAAUGUGAUUUCUUCAAAUAUCUUCUUCAAAUGCAUUGCCUUCAACACUGUACUUACUGUCAUUAUGCUGGGUUAUUUUCACCACUUAGAAAUUUCAUUUUAUCUUACUGCAACUGUAGAUUUAUAUGCAUAUAGAUUGUUAUCAUAUUUCCUUCUUGUGCAUAC
Molecule: long non-coding RNA, 1574 nt
Organism: Papio anubis (olive baboon)
Lineage: Eukaryota; Metazoa; Chordata; Mammalia; Primates; Cercopithecidae
Source: Ensembl